Oncorhynchus keta (chum salmon) is the source of this 617-nucleotide long non-coding RNA. RefSeq lists it as uncharacterized. The record is from RefSeq and is a predicted model, not a curated record. NCBI's taxonomy places the organism in Eukaryota, Metazoa, Chordata, Actinopteri, Salmoniformes, Salmonidae. The transcript is spliced from 3 exons.
UUCAGACAGGAAGCUGUGUCAUAAUGCCCACCUCAUAUUGUCCCCUUAACCUCCUGUCCUCCACAGGAAAUUGUCAUGGAGAUGGUAUUUCACAGCACUUCCGGCAUGGUGCACUGCGGCAAAGAGACCAAAAUCAUGCAACAACGACUGGAAGACAGGAACUUUGACUGCCGUUGCUGUGGCAGAGGGAAAACAGUGCACUCAUCUUGUUUUUUUCCGGCGUCCUGGAACGCACCCUUUAUGGUUGCCGGGCAAUGUAGCCAGUUGGGAGUUCUGAUUACCCGCACCUGUAUCCCAUCAGCUAUCUGCACACCUGGUCCUGAUAAUCAUCUCUCCUCUUCAUAAGCCCGGACCUGACAUCCAUUCCCUGCCGGAUCGUUAGCCAUGAACAUUACUCACCCGGAUCAUUUACCCCAUUCCCGCCUGGUCGUCAGAUUCCGCUACCCCAUUGGAUCCACCUAUUUACCCCCAUCAACUCACCACCGCUGCCCGCUACGCCAUCUGGAUAUAUCUACCCAUUCACAUUCACUUGUAAAUAAAUACUCACCUUCUUCCUACUCUCCUUGUCCUGGUCUGCUUCCGGGUUCGAUUUUGAAAGAACGUGACACAAAUAAGCA